UUACGGGGUGCCUACGGGAGGCAGCAGUGGGGAAUAUUGCACAAUGGGCGCAAGCCUGAUGCAGCCAUGCCGCGUGUGUGAAGAAGGCCUUCGGGUUGUAAAGCACUUUCAGCGAGGAGGAAGGCAUUAAGGUUAAUAACCUUAGUGAUGACGUACUCGCAGAAGAAGCACCGGCUAACUCCGUGCCAGCAGCCGCGGUAAUACGGAGGGUGC
RNAcentral lists this ribosomal RNA (213 nucleotides) under uncultured bacterium. RNAcentral's name for it is "partial 16S ribosomal RNA". It matches the Rfam family "Bacterial small subunit ribosomal RNA", at positions 328 to 535 of the family's 1533-position model. The record is from RNAcentral.